UUUUGGUGUGGAAUAGGAUUAGAUGAGGCCCUUAGUGUGGAGGCCACUUAAGAGCCUUAUUUCCUUCUCGGUUCUCUAACACAUGAGACUCCAUCAGGACAUGAGCAGUUUGCAACCUGGAAGAAGGAUCUCACCAGAGUGUGGACAUGCUGGCAUCCUGAUCUUAGACUGACAGUCUCCAGAACCAUAGGAAACAAAUUUAAGUUGUUUACAGACCACCGUAUUGAUGAUAUUUUAUUAUAGCAGCCUGUGUGGACUAAGACAGGAAUCCAAGAAGCUCAUUUGUAUACUGAUGCCUGGAAAGCAGUGAUUUAGUGGAUCCUGGAACAAGUUUGCAAAUGUGGAGAUCUACAUUGACCAACACUGCCUGUGACAAGAGGCUUGUGUGUAGCACGCGGGGCCCAGACAUGAUCUCUGCAGACUUUCCCCCAGUUUAUCCCUUUCUGCCUGCAAGCGAAGCUACAUUCAUCCCAAGGCCUGAAGAAGCAGGAUUUCUGUCCUGA
This 503-nucleotide long non-coding RNA is filed under the name Ictidomys tridecemlineatus (thirteen-lined ground squirrel). RNAcentral's name for it is "lncRNA (ENSSTOG00000029454.1)". Lineage: Eukaryota; Metazoa; Chordata; Mammalia; Rodentia; Sciuridae. The record is from RNAcentral.